CAAGCCAGUAUGCAGCACACCUCUAUGGCCUGUGCACCAGCACCUGCUUCCAGGUUCCUGCCCUGUGUGAGUUCCUGCCCUGACUUCCUUCCCAGAUGAACAGCACUGUGGAACUAACUAAGUGGCAUACACCACCACCUGGCUUCCAGAAUGCACAUUUAACCGAUUUGCCUCCUUUCUUACUUCCAUAAACAGAGGAUGAGUCACAGAAGCAAACACUGAACCCAAGAGCAUCCGUUACUGACUACAGGAGCCCAAGAGCAUCCAUUACUGACUACAGGAGCCCAAGAGCAUCCAUUACUGACUACAGGAGCCCAAGAGCAUCCAUUACUGACUACAAAAGCCAUGCUGUGUGCUUGCUGCUCCUGCUGCUCUGCCAGGCUGACUCCUCACCCUUCUCUAAAGGCACAGUGUCAUCCAAGCAUGUGUUGAAGAGGGCCUUCCUUUAUCUUUGCACUUUUCUGUAAAACCAAACAACAUAAAAGUUUUAACUGGC
Mastomys coucha (southern multimammate mouse) is the source of this 496-nucleotide long non-coding RNA. RefSeq lists it as uncharacterized. The transcript is spliced from 3 exons. The record is from RefSeq and is a predicted model, not a curated record. NCBI's taxonomy places the organism in Eukaryota, Metazoa, Chordata, Mammalia, Rodentia, Muridae.